RNAcentral lists this ribosomal RNA (433 nucleotides) under uncultured bacterium. Its description in RNAcentral is "partial 16S ribosomal RNA". It matches the Rfam family "Bacterial small subunit ribosomal RNA", at positions 29 to 507 of the family's 1533-position model. The record is from RNAcentral.
AACGAACGCUGGCGGCAUGCCUAACGCAUGCAAGUCGAACGAGACCUUCGGGUCUAGUGGCGCACGGGUGCGUAACGCGUGGGAACCUGCCCUUAGGUUCGGAAUAACUCCCCGAAAGGGGUGCUAAUACCGGAUAAUGUCUUCGGACCAAAGAUUUAUCGCCUUUGGAUGUGCCCGCGUUGGAUUAGCUAGUUGGUAGGGUAAAAGCCUACCAAGGCGACGAUCCAUAGCUGGUCUGAGAGGAUGAUCAGCCACACUGGGACUGGGACACGGCCCAGACUCCUACGGGAGGCAGCAGUGGGGAAUAUUGGACAAUGGGCGAAAGCCUGAUCCAGCAAUGCCGCGUGAGUGAUGAAGGCCUUAGGGUUGUAAAGCUCUUUUACCCGGGAUGAUAAUGACAGUACCGGGAGAAUAAGCUCCGGCUAACUCCGUG